AUUGAACGCUGGCGGCAUGCCUUACACAUGCAAGUCGAACGGUAACGGGCCUUCGGGUGCCGACGAGUGGCGAACGGGUGAGUAAUACAUCGGAACGUGCCCGAUCGUGGGGGAUAACGAGGCGAAAGCUUUGCUAAUACCGCAUACGAUCUACGGAUGAAAGCAGGGGACCGCAAGGCCUUGCGCGGACGGAGCGGCCGAUUGCAGAUUAGGUAGUUGGUGGGAUAAAAGCUUACCAAGCCGACGAUCUGUAGCUGGUCUGAGAGGAUGAUCAGCCACACUGGGACUGAGACACGGCCCAGACUCCUACGGGAGGCAGCAGUGGGGAAUUUUGGACAAUGGGCGAAAGCCUGAUCCAGCCAUGCCGCGUGAAGGAUGAAGGCCUUCGGGUUGUAAACUGCUUUUGUACGGAACGAAAAGCCUUCUUUUAAUACAGGAGGGUCAUGACGGUACCGGAAGAAUAGGCACCGGCUAACUACGUG
Molecule: ribosomal RNA, 482 nt
Filed under: uncultured bacterium
Lineage: Bacteria
Description: partial 16S ribosomal RNA
Rfam family: Bacterial small subunit ribosomal RNA
Source: RNAcentral